GGGAGUUUGUUAUCGAUAAUAGCAGAAGUGCUAGUAUCUGUGUUAUGAAUAAUAUCUCCAAAGGACGUUGGUCGGAUGAAAUGGAGAAGGAUGACUUCUGCAACAACAUGGAUUAGUGUUUUUAGGUGUUUUUGCGAUUGAGUUUCUGUACGCUGAAGUAUUAGGCUUCAUACGUUUCUUUUGUUUUUUUCUUUCCUUUGAUGAGCUCCUUCUCGAGUCUCGGGCCCCUAGUUUGCGUCCUUGUGCUUUCACGGGUUUUUUCUUUUUCUUUUUAUAUAAAACUUCAAUUUAAUAAAAAUAAUAGAUUGUGUAUAUGGAAGAGAAAGAAAUAAUUUUUUUAUUAAAAAGCUGGGUUGAUGUAGAUUGUUGAUAAAGAUUAGCGCCAAAUUUAGCUCCAAGUUAGGUUAGUGUAGGUUGUUAAUUAAGCCUGAAAAAGACUGGUGUGGUCAUUAUCGCCAAAUUUAUCAU
Molecule: long non-coding RNA, 468 nt
Filed under: Salvia miltiorrhiza (redroot sage)
Lineage: Eukaryota; Viridiplantae; Streptophyta; Magnoliopsida; Lamiales; Lamiaceae
Description: long non-coding RNA (SMIL_LNC013812)
Source: RNAcentral